UGAGUUUACUUUCUAAUGUUGAAAAUAUGAGAUGAAUAUGUAUGUUUUGGAUGUUGUAAACUUAUGAUGAAAGUAGUUUAGCAACAUUGAAAAUAUAAUGAAUAUCUUGUAUGGUUAAAUGAUGCAAUAUAAGUUGUUUAUAUGAUAUUUGGGAUAAAUGACUAACGUUGUGUUGUAUGGUGGGAAUGAGGAAAGAUACUAGAGUUGGCGGCGGUGUCGGUGGAACUAAUGCAGUUACCAAGAACUCAACCCAACACUCACCAAGAUAAACAAGUGACAUGAGGUGGUCUCAUUUUUGGAAGCUUUAGGAGUUUUAUGUUUUGGUUUCACUUAUGUGCACUAUUUUGUACAUGAGUGCUUGUUGGAUUAGUUGAAAUAUUUUGUACCUAU
Non-coding RNA from Lupinus albus (white lupine), 390 nucleotides. The record is from the annotation of a GenBank genome assembly. Lineage: Eukaryota; Viridiplantae; Streptophyta; Magnoliopsida; Fabales; Fabaceae.